Molecule: non-coding RNA, 637 nt
Organism: Vicugna pacos (alpaca)
Lineage: Eukaryota; Metazoa; Chordata; Mammalia; Artiodactyla; Camelidae
Source: RefSeq, a predicted model, not a curated record
UUUAGGCAUUUGUUCUGAAAUUUUUACCUUGGCUGUCAUUUUUACUUUCUUGUUUUACAGAUGCAUUAUCUUCUGUUUCACUAAGGGUGUUACAACUAAUUUCUUUAAAAUUUUCUGCAUUGUCUCUGUGUCUUCAGGGUUCCUUUUUUCUCUCUGUUUCAGGCUUGGUUUCCUGUGUUGGCAGAUUGCUCAUGUGUCUGUAGAUUGUCAGCUUUCUGUUCACAGUGAAGCAGGAGACAUCCAGAGGCCGACGGGAAGCUCCUGUAUAUGCGAUGCAUCCAGUCUAGGACUGCCUCCCACCUCAUCCUCCUGAGAAUCACCUAUGAGAACCCUGUGAGAAGUUCCUCCCAGUUCCGUCUCCUGAGGCUCCGGGGCUAUCCUCUUGUGCAGCGGCAAGCCCAAUAAACGGAACAUCGUUUUUCUCUAACUGCAGGCCAAAUUCUCCGAGUAAUAGUCAAGCAUUGGGAGGGGGAAAAUACCCAGAAACCUAACAGAUCUGCCAGCUUAAAGAUCUCAGAUCAAGAGCAGUAGACCAGAAGGGCCAGGCUGAAUGGAAAUUCACUUCUUUAACUUCAAGUAGAAUCUCAUUAUUACUACACUAUCUGCUGCAAAAUAUCAGACACUUCUUUUAGUAGCU